Molecule: ribosomal RNA, 500 nt
Filed under: uncultured bacterium
Lineage: Bacteria
Description: bacterial SSU rRNA
Rfam family: Bacterial small subunit ribosomal RNA
Source: RNAcentral
CCCUUAGAGUUUGAUCCUGGCUCAGGAUGAACGCUGGCGGCGUGCUUAACACAUGCAAGUCGAACGAAGCAUUUAAGACAGAUUACUUCGGUUUGAAGUCUUUUAUGACUGAGUGGCGGACGGGUGAGUAACGCGUGGGUAACCUGCCUCAUACAGGGGGAUAGCAGCUGGAAACGGCUGGUAAUACCGCAUAAGCGCACAGUACCACAUGGUACAGUGUGAAAAACUCCGGUGGUAUGAGAUGGACCCGCGUCUGAUUAGCUUGUUGGCGGGGUAACGGCCCACCAAGGCGACGAUCAGUAGCCGACCUGAGAGGGUGACCGGCCACAUUGGGACUGAGACACGGCCCAGACUCCUACGGGAGGCAGCAGUGGGGAAUAUUGCACAAUGGAGGAAACCCUGAUGCAGCGACGCCGCGUGAGUGAAGAAGUAGUUCGCUAUGUAAAGCUCUAUCAGCAGGGAAGAUAGAGACGGUACCUGACUAAGAAGCUCCGGCUAAU